ACUCUCUCUCUCUCUCUCUCUCUCUCUCUCUCUAUAUAUAUAUAUAGCUGGAAUAUUAUUGAUAGUAAAGGAAUAGUAUUUAUUACCCACUUUUUAUUCAUUAGCUAGAUGCCUAGGAUUUAGUGAGGUUAGGUGGAAUAGUAUUUCGAAUGGUUAUAAAGUUGAUAGUAAAUACUAUUCGUAUACUAUCAAUAUAUAUAUAUAUAGUUGAGCUAGAAUACUCUCAAAAGCACCAUGAAGGCGGUGCUUUUGAGUUUUUAGUCAUUAGAUGGAGAGAUGAGGUUGGGAUGAUGGUGGUAGGUGGUACGUGGUAGGUGGAAUAGUGUUUGAUCUAAAGGCUAUUAGUAAUCAAGGAGUAGAUCCAAGGGCUAGAAACUUAGAAGCACAAAGGGGUUGGUGCUUCUAAAAGUAUUUUAACUCAAUUAUAUAUAUAUAUAUAUAGUUGAGCUAGAAUACUAUUGAUAGCAAACGGGCUCCGUUGCCACCCAUUUGUUUUCGAUGAUAGAGCCUCAAAAUCGACGAUCGGCACCGUUGAACAUGAUCUAUACCACUUGAAGUAUUUAGAAAUCAAAUUUCAUACAUUUUCGAUAUUGUUCUCUUAUCCAUCGAGUGGAUACAAAAAUGAACAGCUGAAAAUGAA
Molecule: long non-coding RNA, 640 nt
Filed under: Ananas comosus (pineapple)
Lineage: Eukaryota; Viridiplantae; Streptophyta; Magnoliopsida; Poales; Bromeliaceae
Description: long non-coding RNA (ACOM_LNC005079)
Source: RNAcentral